UACGGAGGGUCCAAGCGUUAUCCGGAAUCACUGGGCAUAAAGCGUCUGUAGGUGGUUUAAUAAGUCUGCUGUUAAAGACUAGGGCUUAACCCUAGGAAAGCAGUGGAAACUGUUAGACUCGAGUAUGGUAGGGGUAGAGGGAAUUUCCAGUGGAGCGGUGAAAUGCGUUGAUAUUGGAAAGACCACCAACGGCGAAGGCACUUUACUGGGCUAUUACUGACACUCAGAGACGAAAGCUAGGGUAGCAAAUGGG
Molecule: ribosomal RNA, 253 nt
Filed under: uncultured bacterium
Lineage: Bacteria
Description: partial 16S ribosomal RNA
Rfam family: Bacterial small subunit ribosomal RNA
Source: RNAcentral